GCUAGCUACAGCUGCAGUGUCAGAAAGCCAAAUGUGUGUGCCAAAACACUGUCAUUCUGGAGGGAGUUGGUAUUGUAGGCCUUUUAGUGUGGGAACUUUAAUAACCGCACCUUGUUAAAUCUCACGUCAUUGCCUGUACUCCAGGUUCAUAUUGUUUUAGCUUUCUGAAGAGGAGGAGUGUUGCAAGCCUCUGUACCCCGGCCAACUCCAACAGAAGCAUUGAUAUUCUGCCCACCCAACCUGCUCUGUUGUUGUAGGAGUUGCCCUUUGCAGACUCUGCUAAUGUGUUCCCCUCCUGAAGGAUACAGCCUCUAUGACCGCAGGCCCACAUCUUACUAAUCUACAGCCCUGGAAAUCCACAGAGGCUGCUGUCGCAGAGAAAUGCUCCUCCUUCCUCCAGGCAGCCCUGGGUGAGGACACCUGUGUUGGGUAUCCUAAAACUGCUGCCUCUCUGGUGGAAGAGGAGCCUCCAACCACGAAAUACUACAAACACCACAAUCAGUCCUCAAUAACGUGCUGAAUGCCUGGAAGUCCUAACCCAUGCCACAGGCCUGCCAGAGGGAAAUUUUAAAGUCCAGCAGGAUCUGGGAUGGGAUAUAGGCUGGCAAGGUAAUAAUCACACCCAUUUGACUGAGGAUGCCUUGAAAUGAAACAUGGCAGCUGUGGGAAAGAAGAAAGCAAAUGUUGAUGUGGAGACUGCCCCUCACCACCUCCUUCCUCUGCCAAAAUGCAACAGCAAGGUGAUUUCUGGGAACGUUCAUAGUGUAGGAGUUCUCCGACAGCAGUAAACAAGUUACCUGCACAGAGGUGGCUGCAAAAGCAAACUGAAGUAGGAGUUGAUGAGGGAAAAUCGGAAGGCACAGUUAUCGUCAGUCAGCGAGCCGUGGUCAAGUUCAACAAAAGAUUUAAACAGAGCUCCUUUUGCUUCAGAUGAAAUUCUCAUCUGCACUAUGAUGACUCACAGGCUGCAAACCAAGAAAAAAAGGAGAAGAAAUAAUCACCAGGGAAGGGUAACACUUAAGCAAACAAACAAAGAAAUGGAAGUGCUGCAGCUCUAUGAGGCUGAAAGAAUGAGUGUAUAUCCUGUGAUGCUCUUGGCUAUGUGACAGUGGUUUCCUUUUGUGUUUCUGUCUCAGUAAAAUUAGAGGCGUAUGUUUGGAGCUUGGGGGAUGUGAGCUCAGCUUCUGAUUCUGCACAGCCUCCUGUGAGGCACGGGACAAAUUCUUAGAUCUCUCUGGAUCUCACCUGUAAAACAGUAAAAACAUUCCUUGUCUAUUUAAAUUACUGGUCCUUCCUAUGGGUUUCUACUGGGCCUAGAGGAGCAGAGCCCUCAUCUAUCAUCACGCUCUCUAGCUGCCGCUGUGCUAUGAAUAAUAGUGUUUAUUAAUCAUAAUAAACACGUCAGCACUGUCAGAGAGUGUACACAGAGCAAAUAGAACAGUGUCUGACAACCACAUCCUGCCAGGUAAGUCGGGAGGUUGAAAAUGAGAAUUCUGCUGCAGAUCAUAUAAAAUCCAGAGAUUGGCCCGACUCUUCCUGUGGGCAAUAUUGGAGGAAAAAAAGAAAAGGUCAAUUUUAUUCUAAAAAAUAGGACAGUAAUAGCCUAUGUGGUGUGUCCCUCGCUAAUGUGCCAAGACAGCUCCUGACAUUUACAGACUGAAAUAGCGAGGGAAUCUAGAUAGCGUGCAUCCAGUUCAAAAUGAAUAUAAUAGGAACAGCAAGCCCUAAUUUUAAUGUAUAAACUGAAAUCAGCUAAAUUUACCGGUUAAGUCUUCCCCAAGUUGCUCUCCUCUUCUGCCUCCAUCACCCAGGCCACCAUUUUGGUUGAGAGGUGACAAUGAGCAGGAUGUAGGUCUUCCAAGCUGCUGGCCUCAGUUACCAGCCCCUUCACCUGGCCCAUGUCCUGCGUGUGGAUCACCCUACUGAGAGAGAGGUGGAAAGCAGCCCACCUCGGGGAGCCUCAUGCUUUGAACGUGCAAUGAGCUGGCACGCAGUGGUAAGACACAACUCAAAGUGGGUCCAGUUGCCUCAAAUAAGCCAUUGUUUUCCAGAGUGGUGUACAAAAUGGAGGUCAUUCCAAAAGCAACCUGUGGGAGGAUCCACUCUUGUCCACGUGAAAUCAUAACUGCGGCACAGAGCAGGGAGGUAAGUUCUGAAUUUUGGACUGUUUAUACUAAUAGGAGACAGAGAGAAAUCCUUUGAAACUACUGGGGUUACCUGAGACUUCAGCUGGUGUAAUCAGGUCAGAACCUGCUUCUAGGUCCUCCAGUUGAAUCUUAAUGUUUGGUCUAUGCUGGAGAUACUUGCUAUAGAGUUAAUCAUCUCUGUGUCCUGACAAGACCUCAUGGCACCUCUAUUCAUCAGAAUGACCUGCUGGGAGGAAUGGGCUUGUGACAUAUGGGCUGGAUUUGGAAAGAAUAACAAGAGACAUUCUGCAUACUUGAGAAAGGAUCUAAUUGAAACAAAAUCUUUUGAGAUGUAAGUGGUUUGCUGCGGAAUCAGGAAGUAGUUUUCCCUCCCUCUCUGUCUGCCUAUGGGUGUUUGAUAUAUUCUCCAGUGGGGCAUGCCGGGUCCUUGCUCUGCUUUUGUCCUGCAAUUUCAGCUCCAUAGCCAGGAAGCUGCGGAGUCUUUGGUGCCAGCUGCUGUGUGGCACACUGUGGCCACCACCAGCAGCCUCUGCCCUGCUGUGACACCUCCUCGGCCCUGCAGCCCAUGCCAAGAAUUAUUGGCAUAAACUUGCAGAAGAAACUGCAUGGAUGCUCAUUUUUGUAUUAAAUUCAUACCACCAUUUUUUAAAAUGCUGAAGGGAGGUGAGCACUCAUAAGCCCACUGAAUAGAUCUGAUUGAUUCUCUUCUGUUCUUUCACAAAUCCCAGCUUCAGAGAUGUCCCGGUAUGUGAACUCAGUCAACAGGUCAUGUGUGAGUGGCUUUAUAAUUUUCUCAUUGUGGCACUGCCAAUACCUUUGUGCACUUCAAUCACUCCCUGCUUGUUUCGAAACAAAGCAAGCACUAUUUGCAAAGCGUGUCUGCUGAAAGCAGUUCUCCAAACUGUUCACAAUGUGUGCAUCACCUGUGCCAGGAAAAUGUGUGUAUUUCCAUGUAAAAACCAUUUGUGCACCUGCCUUCAUAAAUCUUCUGUACUUAACCUGUGACCCAACCCUUUUGUUAUGUCAGAGGACGGUGAUGAGGUUAUGCUCCUGUUGCUGCUGACAGACAACAGCCACAACAAAAAAGGCACAGUUACUUAACACAAUCCCUGACGGUGAGCAGACGCUGGCAUUUCAAACCAUAGCUGAGCUGGACCUUAUUCAUCUCCUGGCAUGAGCACUUCUUUCAGGGGGAAAAUGUUUAUUUCAGGCAUGGGAACAGCCAGGUGGAGAAACAAAGACUUACCCUAAGCCACCAUUUCAAAUCCAUGGUGGAGACAGCAACAAAUGUCAGGGGACUGCCAGUCCCUCGUUCCAACCACAAGGCAAUUCCUGUUUCCCAGUGACUUCAAUAGCUGGCCAAGACCAAGCACUGUGGCACUACAGUUUGCUGGGGAUCCCAGAGUGGGAAAGGAUUUUCAUUUUAACCAAUUUUAAGCUGCAGAUAUUAAAUGUUCAGGUGGAUUGAAAUAACCCCACCUCUUCUAUCACAUGGCACGUAUGACUCUUCUACACCUUUUGCGUCGCCUUUGAUGUAGGAGCUGGACCGAUGUGUCCUCCCUGUCAGCACAUCACCUAAUACAUUUUUAAAGAGUUUCUGUAACAUCAGUACUAAAGAGCAAAAAUGUCAGCUUAUGUCUUAUCAAGAUGAAGAGCAAAAAUGCUCACUCUGCACUGCCUUCAGGAGAAAUGGCUGCACACAGGAACAAAGCCACGGCGCCAGCCAAACCACAUCUGAUUCUGAGAAAUCACCCUUGGAGAUGUUAUCUCUGAAACACAAAUGUUGGAAUGGUGGCACCUGUUCAAAAGUGUUCGAAAUACAUUUGUGUGUAUUUCUUCAACAUAUUUAUAACUCUAGAUCCUUUACAGGUGACUUAAAGACAGAAAACUCACGGUAGGGAGGAAAGAAUUUAGGAAGAGAUGAAGAGAAUCACAGAAUCUUUUUGAGAUAGAAGGGACCUUUAAAGGUCAUCUAGUCCAGCUCUCAUGUAAUAAACAGGGGCAGCUACAGCCUGACCUUGCACGUCACCAGGGACAGGGCAUCCACCACCUCCCUGGACAACCUGCUCCAGAGCCUUGAAGAACCUGUUCCUCUGACUCAAGAGAAGGUGAGAAACCACUCUGCUGACUGCACCGGUGGUUAUGUGUUGUUAUGGUACCACCAUAAGAACUCCCUUUCUACAACAGAUUUAUCUGGGGAUUGGUGCUGUAGCAGUGUCUUCUGUUCCUGAGCCUCCCCAACGCUGCCUGACUGCCAUUUGGCUCCCCUAUGAUACAGGCCAUGUAGAUGGAGUGGGAAUGUUUGCACCAGUGCCUCAUUACAGACCACAGUACCAGGGGCAAUUAAUGCCCAACAGCAUGUAUAAUCUGCCUUUCAGCAAUGUGAUCCCUCUUCCUUUCAGUUCCUCACCACAGCAUAUCACACCAAACAUCCCUGCCAUCUUUUGACAUAUCAUGGAGGGAGGAUUUAUUCAUAAAGACAUUCCAGGGCCCAGCUUCCCACUGAAAUGAAUGAUGGGCAUGAGGAGAGAUUGAGGUUGGCUCACCUCCUCUUUGGCAGCAGAAUGGAAGGACUAAAUAAGAUCCAUUUUGGAUCAUCUGAAUGAUAACAUGGAGCAUUUUUUUUCUUUUGAUGCUAGAAGAAUUUGCUUCUGUGAUUCUUCCAUAGCUUGUGGCUUUGCUAAUUAGCAAGAGAACUCCCGAUAGCAGAAAUCAAAGGAUCUUCCCCACGAUGAUGCUCUUGUUCAGUUGUGAAAGGAAAAUUAUGUGAUUUUGUAAUCUCUGGACAAUAAAGACCAUAUGUCGUGUGCAGAGCUCCCAGAUAUUCACAUGAGAGUGGGUUGGGUCAGUGCUAGCCAAGAAAUCUGAAUGCAGAAUUAAUGUCAUUAUGUGCUUUACUUUGCCCUAAUACUGAUCAUAAGGGGAGAGAGGAAAAGACACAAAUAUAAGAUUAUGACAAGAAUAAUGAAAAAAAUGUGUGUUCCAGGCUCAGAGAAAUUGUUUUGACAUCAGCUUUCACAUUUUUUUAUCAUCACCCCUUUGGGCAAAGUCAUCCAAAAGGACAAACGGAAAAUCAUACCACAGAUGAAGAUACAGAACCUGCCUCUCUUAGCAGACUGAAUGUGACAGAUAAAAUAAGACCUCAGGACUCAAGCAUGGUAGAAAAUAAAAAAAGUUUGUUUAAAAUAUUGCAGUUUUACUAAGUGGGGAGAUUGAUGAACCUGGUGUUACUUAAGAGGGGUUUGCCUGACACUAAUUUUUUUCCUAAUGUUAAUAUAGGCAGAUUGAGCAGUCAUAUCCUGAAGUGACAGCACUGCCAGCAACUGCUCCAGGACACAGCUGAGCUCUCCUCAGUGAGACCUGCUUUACCACUCAGAGUGCUCCUUGGAUACUGGAGGGUCACCUGCAGCCUGCAUGGUGGGGUCUUGCAUUGGGAAGAGCUUUGUGUGACUCUGCAUCUCUCUCAGACCUUCCUUAACAAGGAAGCUUCCCUUGAGCUUGCUGUGGAGAAGAGAUACAUUCCCAUUUUCACCUACUCUGUUUUAUUCACUCUUCCUCUUUUCCAGGAUUAUAUUUUUUCUAAGGUGCAUCAUUGUCAGAGAAGUAAUAUAUGAAAACACAUACAAUCAAGGCCUUGGGACCAUUGAAUGAACAUUCCUCUGUCUUCUGGAGAACCUUCUAUUCCCUUGAGACUUGCUUUCUGACUGCUGUUGGAGAUACAACCUUGGCAGGCAGGUUACAGGGCAGAGCAGAGACCAGGGGGACAGAACCCCGUCACUGAGCCAGAGCUGCAGCAGUGCUGACAGUAUCUAGGUCAGAAUGCAGCGAUUCUCCGUGGAUGAUGGAUGGCUGCAGAGCUGAAGGCCAGCACUGGCAGUGGAGCCAAGCACUCCUUUUCCAUCCAAAGGGCACAAAAUCCCCCCUCAUCCAUCCAGCAUCAUUGGGAGGGGGCCCCAUGCCAUAGCCACCAGAGCUGAACUAAUGCCCAUCACUGAUCACUGCUCCACAGAGCCGAGAAAUCAGCGUUGCCAUGGGAUUCGGAUACAAUAAGCCAAAGGAUCUGGAUAUCAACCAAGUGCCCAGCUACCAGGGCCCUAAAAACAAAACUGAUGCUGAAUCUCUCCUCUAAAAACGUCACACUUCUCUUUCUCGCACAGGAGAACAAUGUCAAAUGUUACCCCAUAUUAUUCUCGUGUUUUGAAUAUCUGCACUUUGAAGUUUGUUUGGCUCCAGGCAAGCUUGUGCACUCAAACAUUUAUGUGCUUCCUCCAAACACCUUCAUUGGCCUAAUGAAAGAUAAUGCCUCAGCCAACAACCGUACUGUCCUCAAUGAGAUACAGCUUUGGAAGCCAGCCCACCAACCAUUCACAGACCAUAUAUCACAACGAUGACCAUGAACCUUCUCCCUCCUGCUACUGUGCCUCAGCCCGCUGUGACCAGAUCAUGAAAGGAUCAGUGCUUUCCCUAUAUGUCAUCCCCUAGCACUGUAAGACUGGCACCUGUCUCUCAAGAUUUGUGCUAAGCCCUGGGUCUUCCUCAGAGAUUGAUUCAUGCAGCCAUGGCUUUCAAUGUCAGAAGAGACCACAGGAUCACCCUGCCUGGUAGCAGAGGUCAUCAUUUUCACAGGGUUCACACCAACUCAUGCUUUGUUGAAGCACGUCCCUCAAACAGAUGACAGUCCCCUCUUGAUUUGACAGCUGCAGAGGAUGGAAGAUCUGUAUCUUCCCACUACUGACAGAAGUUUAUAAGGUCAUUCGUGAGGUUUAUUCCCAUUUAUUGAAAGCACCAGGGGAACUUUCCUGUUUGUCUUGAUUCCUGGCAGAAGACAACAUCUAGUUCUGUGCUCCUGACCUAAACUGUUAAACUGUGAUGCCAACCAUCUAACCAGCCUGCCUUCCCAGCAAGGCCUUACUGUCUAUGAAGUGCCCUAUAACCUGGGAUUUUGAGUAGCAAUACUAAGAAAAGGAGGGUGCCAAAAAAAAUGUUCACGCUUCUGAGCUGCUUCUGCAAUGAUGGGGAAAGAGGGCUGAUAUUAACAAGUGUUUGGGGGCAGGAACUGUCUGUUAUUUGUAUUUCAGGCGAUAGCUAACACAUUAUAGGCGUUAAUCUAAUAAUAUUCACUGGCUGUCUGAUACAGGAUGCUUUGUCUGAACUAGCCAGCCUAACACAGAUCGCCGCUUUGUUUCUGCCAUAGUAGAACUUACCAGAACAGCAUUUUUUACUAUGAACAUUUCUGCCUCAAUCCUGCGCGUUCUGAUGCUGGGUAACUUCCUCUCCCAACUGGCACUGAACAAAAAGACCUGGAGUAUAAACCACGUGGUUUAGCGAGCACACAGUGCUUGCUCAUCGUAGGUGGGCACACACAGAGGUGCAGCAGCUGACUGGCCACCACGACCUCAUGCAGAUCUCAGCUUGUUCCCUCACCCACAGCAGUGCCCUCAUGAUGCAGUGCUGUUGUUCAGUUCAGUACAGAGAUGGCUGUGCAAAGUCUCAUUGAUGAGAACAGGGGGCAGUUUUUGAAGAUUAUAUAGUGCACAUUUAAUUAAUAAAUCCCUAUUAGUGGCCCUGGUUAGAAAAAGACACGGCUUCUGCACCUUUUCAGCUUGCAGAUGUGAUGCACCAAAAAAUUCCCUUUCUGUUCUCAGCUCCGCGAUGUGGAUAUCCUCACUGGGAGCUGACAGAAAGCAAGGCACAGGAAGGACCUCCUCCACUGUGUGUUCUGUGCCCACCAAAGCUGCUCUUAUCUACCUCCGGAGAAGACAGAAAAAAGCAAUCUUGUGGCCCAGACAGAUCCCGGUGGAGCAGGAAGCACUGCACCACACAGGGUAAAACUGGUACAAAAUGUUACUAAUCAAACACGUGGAAAGAAACGAAGGGGAGAGAGAACAAAACUGUCAUUACCCACUAUUUUGACUGUUGAAUCUGGACUAUUCAUAGUAACACACCAAGUGUAUCCAUCCUACUGCAGUAACGAGUGACAGCCGACUACUCAACAAUUAGGUUUUCCUUCUCCACCUCCAAAAUUAAGGUCGUAACCUCUUGUAUUUACUUUCGGGAUGUGGUAAAUUAGAGCUUUGGCUUCAUUGCAAAAAUUAAUUAAAGCAGUCACACAAUGGUGCCAUUCAUUGCUGUUCUCGUCCCUCCCCGCAGUCUGUCCUCAUGUCAGCUCUCUUUGGUUUUAGUCCCAAAUUCCAGUACGUGCUCGCCUGAAUGUAUUAUUUGGGUAAGUAGGCUAGAUUUUUCUUUUUGUCUAUCGCCUUUGCUUCGUUGGAAGAGCUCCUCUUGUUUCUGAUUCUUCUGUUUCCUUUUCUGAAGAAAGCACACGCCGGCAGCCUUCAGCCCCAUCUUACCUACCCAGAAGCUUUCACCUGUGUAGUUUGCAGCAGAACUGGGCUCACAGGAAAGCACUCACCUCAAGAUUUCUCCUCACCGACAUCCCAGGUGUCUGGUUCCGUAAAAGAGGAUCGGUGUUCAAGUUGCUUUCAUCAGAAUUUCAAAAAGUAAACACAGCUAAAUAGGAAGAAAAAUAUAUAUAUUCCAUACUUUUGUGGAGCUGGAAGUCUGCCCAUUGAAAUAUGUUGUGGCUUUUUUUUUUUUUUUCAGAAGCCUUUCUUUUGUGAAUGUAAUGCUUGUUUUCAAAGCUGGAUUUAUAGACUGGCAAAAUAAUGUUCUCCUUUAUAGGAGAAAGUGUUGCAUAACGUUUCAUAAGACCACAUCCCGAGGUGGUUCAGCACGCUGUGUGUACCGAUAAACACGGACAGCAGAGAGUUCAGGAAUACUGACCUACUAAAACGUGUGGCUUGCUGAGAACUCUGAUUUCAUAUCCUAUCUAAAGGCUAAAGCAAAAGGAUUGUCUGACAAAGGUUUGGGCUAAUGCAGAUGCAGGAGGUACAAUACAGCAGGCAACUUUGGCACUUCUAUGCAGUUCUACUGAAGUCGAAGUUGACGCUGCUAAGAAGAAAGGCACACAAACUGUUUGCAGAAACGACACCUAUUAUAGGCUUGAUUUCUUCAGAGUGCUUAAUACAAACAUAAACUUUCUUUUUUUUAAUCUUACUGCUCACCUUCAUGAGUGUACUGAGGAAAUUUAAUCCAAACACCCAGAGCAGGGGCCCAGGGCCUUGUCCAGGUGGCUUUUGAUCUCUAAGGAGACACCACAGCCUCUCUGGGCAACCUGUGUCAGUGCCCAGCCACCUGCAUGGCACACAAGUGCUUUCUGAUGUUCAAGGGGAAUCUCCUGUGUUCCAGUUCGUGCUAAUGCCUCUUGUCCUGCAAGAGGUUUAGGAGAUGGCUGGAAGGACGCCUUUACUGAACGUACCAACCUGAGCCAGCAAAUGUUUGGUUUUUUAAACGCAUCCAGGGAUGGUGACUCAACCACCUCCCUGGGGAGCCUAUUCCAGUGCUUAACAACCCUUUCUGUAAAGAAGUGUUUCCUGAUAGCCAACCUAUACUUACCUGGCACAAUUUGAGGCCAUUUCCCCUCAUCCUGUCACCUGUCAGCAGUGAGAAGAGGCCAACCCCACUCUCACUGUAA
Long non-coding RNA from Gallus gallus (chicken), 9681 nucleotides. RefSeq lists it as uncharacterized. The record is from RefSeq and is a predicted model, not a curated record. The transcript has 3 exons. NCBI's taxonomy places the organism in Eukaryota, Metazoa, Chordata, Aves, Galliformes, Phasianidae.